This is a ribosomal RNA of Pteropus vampyrus (large flying fox), 119 nucleotides long. NCBI's taxonomy places the organism in Eukaryota, Metazoa, Chordata, Mammalia, Chiroptera, Pteropodidae. The record is from Ensembl.
GUCUAUGGCCAUGCCACCCCGAAUGUGCCCCAUCUCAUCUGAUCUCGGAAGCUAAGAAAAGUAGGGCCUUGUUAGCACUUGGAUGAGAGACCACCUUGGAAUACCAGGUGCUGUAGGCA